This 253-nucleotide ribosomal RNA is filed under the name uncultured bacterium. Its description in RNAcentral is "partial 16S ribosomal RNA". It matches the Rfam family "Bacterial small subunit ribosomal RNA", at positions 524 to 776 of the family's 1533-position model. The record is from RNAcentral.
UACGGAGGGUGCAAGCGUUAUCCGGAAUCACUGGGUUUAAAGGGUGCGUAGGCGGCUUAGUAAGUCAGGAGUGAAAGCCUGCGGCUUAACCGUAGAAAUGCUUUUGAUACUGCUGAGCUUGAAUUAGGUUGAGGUUGGCGGAAUGUGACAUGUAGCGGUGAAAUGCAUAGAUAUGUCAUCGAACACCAAUGGCGAAGGCAGCUGACUAGACCUGAAUUGACGCUGAGGCACGAAAGCGUGGGGAGCGAACAGG